AUGGAGCGCAUGGCUACUUACUACUUCAAGGAAGUCUUUACGAAGGAUCCAACCUUAUCACCGGAGGUUGUGCUGGAUGGAAUCUUGCCAAAGGUAACUGUACAUAUGAAUGAUAUGCUAUGUGUGCCCUUCUUGGAAGAAGAAGUAGUUUCGAAUGCACUUUUUCAGAUUGGGCCGUUGAAAGCACCGGGCACGGAUGGCUUCCCGGCCAGGUUUUACCAACGUAAUUGGUCUACACUGAAGGCUGAGAUUAUUGCGGCGGUUUUGGAGUUUUUCACUUCGGGGUUAAUGCCGGAUGGUGUGAAUGACACGGCUAUUGUCCUUAUUCCAAAAAUUCCACAUCCAAGAGAGUUGAAAGAUUUUAGGCCAAUCAGCUUGUGUAAUGUUAUUUAUAAAAUUGUUUCCAAGUGCCUGGUCAAUCGUUUACGGCCUUUGCUGUCGGAGCUGAUCUCAGAAAAUCAGAGUGCCUUCAUACCCGGACGGCUUAUAUCGGAUAACUUUAUCAUUACGUUUGAAUGUAUCCACCACAUACAGUCAAUGAAGCAGAACGGCCAGCCGGCGUGUGCCUACAAGCUUGAUUUAUCGAAGGCCUAUGAUCGUGUUGAUUGGGACUUUUUGGAGCAGGCUCUUGGUAGAUGGGGCUUCUCUAGCCAGUGGAUUGCUUGGAUAAUGACUUGUGUCCGUUCAGUCAAAUAUUCAGUGAAGUUUAAUGGGAAAUUACUCCAGGCGUUUACACCUUCGCGAGGUCUACGCCAAGGUGAUCCAUUAUCCCCCUUCUUGUUUCUCUUUGUUGCUGAUGCUCUGUCUGCCCUUAUUUCCAAGUCAGUAAAUGAUGGUAAUCUGAAGGGGGUAUCUAUCUGUCGUGGGGCACCGGUUAUAUCUCACCUUCUUUUUGCGGAUGAUACUAUGUUGUUGUUUCAAGCUUCUGGCCAGCAAGCGCACAUUGUCAAAGGUUUGUUGAAUACUUAUGCUUCGGCGACGGAUCAACUUAUCAACCCCGAAAAGUGUUCCAUCCUUUUCUCUGAUAAUUGCAGUGAGUCAGUGGCAGUUGAGGUUAAGAGUAUUUUGGAGGUUACACAACAAGUGUUUGAACCCAAAUACUUGGGCCUGCCGGUUCCGGAAGGUAGAGUUCAUAAAGGGCAAUUUGAGACCCUUCAGGAAAGGUUAAGGAAGAGGCUUGUUGAUUGGAGUGAACAAUAUGUAUCUUCAGGGAACAAAGAAAUUUGGAUAAAGGCUGUGGCGCAGGCAAUCCCCACCUAUGUUAUGAGUGUGUUUCCUCUGCCGGCAUCAGUGUGUGACGAUCUAACAAAAAUGAUGAGGCAGUAUUGGUCGGGGGUGGAGAAUGGAAAGAGGAAGAUGGCUUGGCUCAGCUGGGAGAGGAUGAUGCUCCCCAAGUCUAUGGGGGGUAUGGGGUUUAGAGACAUGCGUGCUUUCAACCAGGCUUUGUUGGCAAAGCAAGCCUGGCGUCUUUUGGAUAGCCCGGACAGUCUGUGUGCGCGGCUUCUGAGGGCUAAAUAUUAUCCACGGGGAAAUUUAUUGGACACUAUUUUUUCCACGAACUCGUCUGCGGUCUGGAAAGGGAUUGUUCAUGGCUUGGAGCUUCUG
This 1605-nucleotide ribosomal RNA is filed under the name Triticum aestivum (bread wheat). RNAcentral's name for it is "partial small subunit ribosomal RNA". Lineage: Eukaryota; Viridiplantae; Streptophyta; Magnoliopsida; Poales; Poaceae. The record is from RNAcentral.